RNAcentral lists this ribosomal RNA (325 nucleotides) under uncultured bacterium. RNAcentral's name for it is "bacterial SSU rRNA". It matches the Rfam family "Bacterial small subunit ribosomal RNA", at positions 1041 to 1372 of the family's 1533-position model. The record is from RNAcentral.
CUGCAUGGCUGUCGUCAGCUCGUGUCGUGAGAUGUUGGGUUAAGUCCCGCAACGAGCGCAACCCUUGUCCCUAGUUGCUACGCAAGAGCACUCCAGGGAGACUGCCGGUGGCAAACCGGAGGAAGGUGGGGAUGACGUCAAGUCCUCAUGGCCCUUAUGGGUAGGGCAUCACACGUCAUACAAUGGUCGGAACAGAGGGUCGACAACCCGCGAGGGGGAGCCAAUCCCAGAAAACCGAUCGUAGUCCGGAUCGCACUCUGCAACUCGAGUGCGUGAAGCUGGAAUCGCUAGUAAUCGCGGAUCAGCAUGCCGCGGUGAAUACGUU